RNAcentral lists this transfer RNA (87 nucleotides) under Candidatus Omnitrophota bacterium. RNAcentral describes it as "tRNA-Leu". It matches the Rfam family "tRNA". Rfam says of the family: Transfer RNA (tRNA) molecules are approximately 80 nucleotides in length. Lineage: Bacteria; Pseudomonadati; Candidatus Omnitrophota. The record is from RNAcentral.
GCCAGAGUGAUGGAAUUGGCAGACAUGAAGGUCUCAAAAACCUUUGUUCGCAAGAACAUGUGGGUUCGACUCCCACCUCUGGCACCA